Molecule: ribosomal RNA, 1343 nt
Filed under: uncultured bacterium
Lineage: Bacteria
Description: 16S ribosomal RNA
Rfam family: Bacterial small subunit ribosomal RNA
Source: RNAcentral
GACGAACGCUGGCGGCGUGCUUAACACAUGCAAGUCGAACGGAAAGGCCCUGCUUUUGUGGGGUGCUCGAGUGGCGAACGGGUGAGUAACACGUGAGUAACCUGCCCUUGACUUUGGGAUAACUUCAGGAAACUGGGGCUAAUACCGGAUAGGAGCUCCUGCUGCAUGGUGGGGGUUGGAAAGUUUCGGCGGUUGGGGAUGGACUCGCGGCUUAUCAGCUUGUUGGUGGGGUAGUGGCUUACCAAGGCUUUGACGGGUAGCCGGCCUGAGAGGGUGACCGGCCACAUUGGGACUGAGAUACGGCCCAGACUCCUACGGGAGGCAGCAGUGGGGAAUAUUGCACAAUGGGCGGAAGCCUGAUGCAGCAACGCCGCGUGCGGGAUGACGGCCUUCGGGUUGUAAACCGCUUUCGCCUGUGACGAAGCGUGAGUGACGGUAAUGGGUAAAGAAGCACCGGCUAACUACGUGCCAGCAGCCGCGGUGAUACGUAGGGCCCGAGCGUUGUCCGGAUUUAUUGGGCGUAAAGGGCUCGUAGGUGGUUGAUCGCGUCGGAAGUGUAAUCUUGGGGCUUAACCCUGAGCGUGCUUUCGAUACGGGUUGACUUGAGGAAGGUAGGGGAGAAUGGAAUUCCUGGUGGAGCGGUGGAAUGCGCAGAUAUCAGGAGGAACACCAGUGGCGAAGGCGGUUCUCUGGGCCUUUCCUGACGCUGAGGAGCGAAAGCGUGGGGAGCGAACAGGCUUAGAUACCCUGGUAGUCCACGCUGUAAACGGUGGGUACUAGGUGUGGGGUCCAUUCCACGGGUUCCGUGCCGUAGCUAACGCUUUAAGUACCCCGCCUGGGGAGUACGGCCGCAAGGCUAAAACUCAAAGGAAUUGACGGGGCCCCGCACAAGCGGCGGAGCAUGCGGAUUAAUUCGAUGCAACGCGUAGAACCUUACCUGGGUUUGACAUGGAUCGGGAGUGCUCAGAGAUGGGUGUGCCUCUUUUGGGGUCGGUUCACAGGUGGUGCAUGGCUGUCGUCAGCUCGUGUCGUGAGAUGUUGGGUUAAGUCCCGCAACGAGCGCAACCCUUGUUCACUGUUGCCAGCACGUUAUGGUGGGGACUCAGUGGAGACCGCCGGGGUCAACUCGGAGGAAGGUGGGGAUGACGUCAAGUCAUCAUGCCCCUUAUGUCCAGGGCUUCACGCAUGCUACAAUGGCUGGUACAGAGAGUGGCGAGCCUGUGAGGGUGAGCGAAUCUCGGAAAGCCGGUCUCAGUUCGGAUUGGGGUCUGCAACUCGACCUCAUGAAGUCGGAGUCGCUAGUAAUCGCAGAUCAGCAACGCUGCGGUGAAUACGUUCCCGGG